GGGGCUGUAGCUCAGUGGAUAGAGCAGCGACCUUCUAAGUCGUUGGUCGUGCGUUCGAGUCGCACCAGCCUCG
Molecule: transfer RNA, 73 nt
Filed under: Oscillochloris trichoides DG-6
Lineage: Bacteria; Bacillati; Chloroflexota; Chloroflexia; Chloroflexales; Oscillochloridaceae
Rfam family: tRNA
About the family: Transfer RNA (tRNA) molecules are approximately 80 nucleotides in length. Their secondary structure includes four short double-helical elements and three loops (D, anti-codon, and T loops).
Source: Rfam by way of RNAcentral